GGCACGGUCACGCGCGCACCACCAGGCCCCAGUUGUACGCAUUUAGAACUCUUUUCGCCGAUAAAUCACUUAAUCAAAUUGAAAGGUUUUUCGGUCGUAGUUUGUUCAUCGAUAAAUCGUGCUUCUGAAACUAUCAUAUUCACUUGCCGAAAUACUCGUGUGACUCGUCGACGUACCACCGAGGAGAAGACACCAUAAAUCGAUUACUAAAAUUAAAAAAUCACCACUGCCCGCGUGUUCAACAGGUACAAUACAGUCAUCAUUGAAUCUGUAAGUUCGUGUUUGAAUUUAUAAUUUUCAAUAAUCUAAGACUCAAUUCAACUGAAAAAAUGGACAAACUGGAUCCAACCGGAUUGUACUGAGCUUGAGAUAGUCAGUUCGAGACAGAUAUUCUACUGAUUCUAUCGACAAUGGCUGGAGACUUGGAUCCAACUGGACUCUACUGACAAGUGUGUCAUUUACCAGUGGGAAGAGAAUCAUUGUAUUCUGUCCCGCCGAAUCCGUUGAUUCGUAGCUCCAUCAGCUGAAAAUCCGCCGAAUUAGAGGCAGCAAGAUGCAUGACUUAGAUCCAACUGGUACCUACUAAACUCUCUGCGGAGAAGAAGCUCGGAUACGAGGUGAGAGAUUCAGGAAGGAAUAAAUUACGGAAGAGGACUCAGUCCGUCAAGGUCGAGACAUGGCUGCAGCACUCGAUCCAACCAAUACCUACUGAAGGUGAUGCGACACAGGUCGCAGAAGGAGGAAGGGAAAGGGAGGACGUGAAUUAAUAAAAAAGAAAAAAUUUAAAAAAAAAACGACAACUACCAAGCUGUUCUGGUGGCAGGUGCAACAAGAUUGUCGUCACGAAAGAAUGGGGAAACAUGUGAGAGGUAGAGAGGAGACAUCGUCGUCGAAUCUGAGGAGAUGGGCCUGGAGUAUCAAUAUACGGAAGGGCAGACACAAUUCGUGAAAUCGGGGGAAACAACAGAGAGGGAGAGGAGAUCGUCAAUGAACUCGAACACUGCCAACGCAUGAGAUGAACCACCAGGAAGUACAUCACUGCUAGAGUCUUCAUAACACCCGUAUUAAUUCGGGAUUUAAUUGGUCGCUAACCGAGAGGAAAUUCACUGAACGCAAAGGAGGAAGUGCAAAGUCUUAUCACUGCCAUGGACGCAGUCAGGAUGUCUCAGUCUCGCUUCCACGAGUCCUCGUAAUGAUGAGGAUGAUGGAAUGGAGACACUCGUCAUCCUCCAGCAUCCACAACAAAUCCAACUGCCUUUCAUCAACCGACGUGAAUCAUCCAGCCUCGCAGACAUCAAAAGUGUUAAUUAUUUUUUUAAUCAAAAUGCGACACCGAGGCAGCUAUUAUCGAGUACUAAAUUAUGCAUUUGACGGAGGCAAUGCGCCUUCAACGUUCAACCGGGAAAACGAUUAGUAGCUGUUAUUAACUUAUUAUCUAUGAUCUUGGAAAAAGAAAAUUGAAAUUGCUGACAAAUGGAGGGAUUUUUUUUUAAUUCACGGUACUAUUGUCUUCUGAAUGUUUCCAAUUGGCUGGAUUCUCUCAAUUUACCCCGCUGGACAAGACUCAAAAUCAAAAGUUUAUUUCAACUGCCGUAUAACUGCCGAAUAUGAAAGCACCACGCACAGUCUCCCUUUGAUAACUCCAAUGACUUUCUAUUUCAAGAGCUACAAUCACUACCACCCGAGCCACAAGACUGUUGCUGGAAUCGUUGUAUUGAUUAUUUGUGAAUUAUUUUCAUAUUUUUCUCAUAAUUACACAUUGUAUCCAUGCGCCCAGUGGCGAUUAGAUUCUUAAUUAUAAUCAUUUAUUUUUAUUGUAUUAACAAGUUUAGUGUCUAAGUACCUUUGAAUUCGUAGAUUUUUUUCCAAAUACGGAAAACAGCUUUCAGCGCGGAUUUUAAUCGGUGUACGCGCGUGAAAGCGUGCCUGCAAGAGUGUACGAGUUACCAGAAUCGAAUUGUCCUCUUUUCUAUUUCUAUUUACAUUUUUUUUAUCAAUGAAUUUAUCCUAUUAUCUUACCACCGUCUCGUGUGGGGUCUUUAUUACUGUUUAUCUUGUUCCUUCUGUGUGCGGAAUAGAUUAAUUCUACGUAAUCAAUUGAAAAAUUUCCAUAAUCGUAACAAUCUUUUCAUGACCAUUCAAACUAUUUCUCUGAAAAACUAUAAUUGGCUGUACUACAUUCUCUUGAUUUGACGGAAUUGCCGACAUGGUCAUCUAUAAAAACAUCGAUGGAUUUAAUUGCCUCACGAAUUGAGUGACAAAAGAAACUUUUCUGACGAUUGUCUUUGCACUCCUCGGCUUCGCUUCGGAUUGUAAUCUCAAUCACCAGAAAAGUUCCUGACGGCCUAGUGACAAAACUACUACUAUACUAUUUUGGAUGAAUCCGUUUUCUUUGGUCUAAUUCCCUCAAUGAUCGAGAAUGUAUUAUUUGUUCGACUGAAUGAUAAACCGAAUGUUUGAAUCACAUUAACAAGUGUCCACUGUGCGAAUGAUAAUUAUUGACAAAUAUACGAGAAAUAUAUAUUUUUUUACCAACUGACUAAAUCGGAACUGAUGAAAGUGGAUUCUAUCCAUUGGCCGUAAACUAUUCUGACUGUUGUUAGUGAUAAAAAUUCUGAAUUGGAUAAGAAAAUGUAGAAUCCAUUUCUACGUUACGACCGAUCGACGGACAUGGGACGGAGAUUAUUGUUUUUUUUUUUAAUUUCAAUUUACUUGAGGUUACGUUUGGAAUAUCGCGCGUUGUUGUUUUAUUUGCUCUACUGCACUUAUCAUUAUUAAACGGCGUAUCUCAACGUUACCCCGACUAAGGCCGACGGUGUAGACUUAAAUUAUUACCUUUUUUUGCAAAGCGUGGUUAAUAGUAGCUGUACGUUUUGCACAAUAAAAUAUUAAGUUCAAAGAU
Fopius arisanus is the source of this 2902-nucleotide long non-coding RNA. RefSeq lists it as uncharacterized. The record is from RefSeq and is a predicted model, not a curated record. Lineage: Eukaryota; Metazoa; Arthropoda; Insecta; Hymenoptera; Braconidae. The transcript has 2 exons.